ACCCGCUGAACUUAAGCAUAUCAGUAAGCGGAGGAAAAGAAACUAACUAGGAUUCCCCGAGUAGCGGCGAGCGAAAAGGGAGAAGCCCAGCGCCGAAGCCCGCGGCCUCUCGGCCGCCGUGCAAUGUGGCGUUUCGGUGUCGGCAUGCCGCCGGCGUCUCUGGCGCGCGUACCUCUGAAAGGGUCUGCCCACAGCGGGUGUCAGGCCUCUACACGCCAGACGAGACGUCGCGGCUAGCCGUCAUCGCGGAGUCGGGUUGCUUGAGAGUGCAGCCCAAAGUGGGUGGUAAGCUCCAUCUAAGGCUAAAUACCUAGUGCGAGACCGAUAGCAAACAAGUACCGUGAGGGAAAGUUGCAAAGAACUUUGAAAAGAGAGUUCAAGAGUACGUGAAACCGUUCAGAGGCAAACGGACGGAACUGGGCGAGUUCGCCGCCGCCAUUCAGCCGUCGCCAGCGCGGCGACGGUGCACUUGGCGGUGGCGGAGCGCAGCGACCGUCUGUCCGGUCGUCAGAAGCCCGGCGGCAAGGUGGCGACGCGUUCGCGCGUCGUGUUACAGGCCGUCGAGGCGUUGGCUGACUGGGCGGGCGAGGAGCGCCUGCGGUGCACUCCCCCCUUGGGGAGCGGCUCGGCGAUGUGGGCUCGCGGACGCCGGUGGCGAACUGCUCGCAGUUCGUUAUCGCGCGCUCUGCUUGUCUUGCGCGUCGGCGCCGCGAGGCACGCAGGGUCCGGGCUGCGUGGUUCCUGGCACUCCGUCCGACCCGUCUUGAAACACGGACCAAGGAGUUGAGCACGCGCGCAAGUCGAUGGGCUCGAAGAACCCCAGUGGCGCAGCUAAGGCAAAACGGGCGUGAUCCGGGCACUGUUCGUGCCCGGCGCAACGCCGGCCCGCAGGCGACUCGACGCGAGUGCCUGCGGCGCAAGAGCGCGCGCGCUCAGACCCGAAAGGUGGUGAACUAUGCUUGAGCAGGGCGAAGCCAGAGGAAACUCUGGUGGAGGCUCGCAGCGAUCCUGACGUGCAAAUCGGUCGUCAAACUUGAGCAUAGGGGCGAAAGACUAAUCGAACCGCCUAGUAGCUGGUUCCCUCCGAAGUUUCCCUCAGGAUAGCUGGCACUCAGGAUAAAUGGUUUUAUCCGGUAAAGCGAAUGAUUAGAGGCAUUGGGGACGAAACGUCCUCAACCUAUUCUCAAACUUUAAAUGGGUAAGAGGCGCGGCCCUUCCUGAUCGGGGUCGCGUGCUAGAACAGAGAGUGCCCAGUGGGCCGUUUUUGGUAAGCAGAACUGGCGCUGUGGGAUGAACCAAACGCGCGGUUAGGGUGCCGAACGCACGCUCAUGAGAUACCACAAAAGGUGUUGGUUGAUAUAGACAGCAGGACGGUGGCCAUGGAAGUCGGAAUCCGCUAAGGAGUGUGUAACAACUCACCUGCCGAAUCAACUAGCCCUGAAAAUGGAUGGCGCUGUAGCGUGCGACCCAUACCGCGCCGUCGGGGCAACGCGUGCGAAAUGCCAGGCCCCGACGAGUAGGAGGGCGUGUCGGUGGCGUCGAAGCGCGGUGCGCGAGCACGCGUGGAGCCGCCCUCAGUGCAGAUCUUGGUGGUAGUAGCAAGUAUACAAAUGAGAACUUUGUAGACCGAAGUGGAGAAGGGUUCCAUGUGAACAGCAGUUGGACAUGGGUCAGUCGGCCCUAAGAGAUCGGAAAAUUCCGUUCUGAACGGGGGAGGCGCACGCCGCCGUCUAAUCAAGCACAAAGUCGAUGAUAGCACAUGCUGCGCAUUAGACACGUGAAAAGAGCGGCUAACGAGGGUGCGUGACGUCCCCCGAUGCGAUCGAAAGGGAAUCGGGUUAAUAUUCCCGAACCUGGCAGUGGAGAUUGGGCCCUCGGGCCCCAGUGCGGUAACGCAACCGAACUCGGAGACGCCAGCGUCGAUCCCGGGAAGAGUUCUCUUUUCUUUGUUAGGAGCGGACUCCCUGGAAUUGGCUUGUCCAGAGAUAGGGACGUUGCAUCCGUAAAGCGUCGCGCCUCACGCGGCGUCCGGUGCAUCGGCGUUGGCCCUUGAAAAUCCGAGGGAGGCAGUGUGAUUUUCACUCCAGGCCGUACCCGAAUCCGCAGCAGGUCUCCAAGGUGAACAGCCUCUGGUCGAUAGAACAAUGUAGGUAAGGGAAGUCGGCAAAUCCGAUCCGUAACUUCGGGAUAAGGAUUGGCUCUGAGGUGCGGGCUGCUUCGGGUCGCGGCAAGAAGCGGACCGUGCGUUGGUAGGACUGGACGCGUUCGCGCGCGUUCGGACCGCCGCCAGCGCGCGUCCGUGGGAGGCCGUGGCUUUCGCCGGCGUCGGCUUCGCGGCUGGCGUCGGCUUCGUUCGGCCUAAACGCACAGCACAGAACUGGCACGGACUCUGGGAACACGACUGUCUAAUUAAAACAAAGCAUCGCGAUGGCCGCUGGUCGGUGUUGACGCGAUGUGAUUUCUGCCCAGUGCUUUGAAUGUCAAAGUGAAGAAAUUCAACCAAGCGCAGGUAAACGGCGGGAGUAACUAUGACUCUCUUAAGGUAGCCAAAUGCCUCGUCAUCUAAUUAGUGACGCGCAUGAAUGGAUUAACGAUGUUCCCACUGUCCCUAUCUACUAUCUAGCGAAACCACAGCCAAGGGAACGGGCUUGGCAAAUACAGCGGGGAAAG
Molecule: ribosomal RNA, 2670 nt
Filed under: Macropora nodulosa
Lineage: Eukaryota; Metazoa; Bryozoa; Gymnolaemata; Cheilostomatida; Macroporidae
Description: partial large subunit ribosomal RNA
Rfam family: Eukaryotic large subunit ribosomal RNA
Source: RNAcentral